Molecule: ribosomal RNA, 457 nt
Filed under: uncultured bacterium
Lineage: Bacteria
Description: bacterial SSU rRNA
Rfam family: Bacterial small subunit ribosomal RNA
Source: RNAcentral
ACGAACGCUGGCGGCAGGCUUAACACAUGCAAGUCGAACGGGAAGUGGUGUUUCCAGUGGCGAACGGGUGAGUAAUGCGUAAGAACCUGCCCUUGGGAGGGGAACAACAGCUGGAAACGGUUGCUAAUACCCCAUAGAAUUUAGUACCUCUACGAGGUAGGCUGAGGAGCAAAAGGGAGGAAUCCGCCCAAGGAGGGGCUCACGUCUGAUUAGCUAGUUGGUGAGGCAAUGGCUUACCAAGGCUCCGAUCAGUAGUUGGUCUGAGAGGAUGAUCAGCCACACUGGGACUGAGACACGGCCCAGACUCCUACGGGAGGCAGCAGUGAGGAAUUUUCCGCAAUGGGCGAAAGCCUGACGGAGCAAUGCCGCGUGAAGGAAGAAGGCUCACGGGUCGUAAACUUCUCUUCUCGGAGAAGAAUAAAUGACGGUAUCUGAGGAAUAAGCAUCGGCUAACUCU